RNAcentral lists this non-coding RNA (27 nucleotides) under Mus musculus (house mouse). RNAcentral also lists the same sequence under 1 other name. Lineage: Eukaryota; Metazoa; Chordata; Mammalia; Rodentia; Muridae. The record is from RNAcentral.
UAUUGAUUUAUUCCAGAGCCAUCAAGA